Molecule: RNA transcript, 4197 nt
Organism: Phragmites australis (common reed)
Lineage: Eukaryota; Viridiplantae; Streptophyta; Magnoliopsida; Poales; Poaceae
Gene name: protein WHAT'S THIS FACTOR 9, mitochondrial-like
Exons: 5
Source: RefSeq, a predicted model, not a curated record
CCGAUGCAUAGGGCACCCGCCUGGGCACUUCCUCCGCAUUUCCUCAAACACUUCGCGCGCGCCGUCGCCGCCCGCCCUCGGCCCCCGCUCCGCUCCCAACCAGGCUACCGUCCUCCGCCGCGGCGUCCAAGGUCCAACCCGAGCACUCACGCCUCCGCGGCCGCGAUGCAGAAGGUUCGGCUCAAGUGGGUGAAGAACCGUGGCCUGGACCACCUGAUCACGCGCACCACCUCUAUCCGCGCGUCCUGCCUCCUGCUGGACCACCUCGCGCGCCUCCCCGCCGCCUCCCUCGUGCCGGCGCGCUCCCUCGCGCGCCUCCAGAAGCCGCUCGGCCUCACGGUUCCUGUGCUCCGCUUCCUCCGCCGCCACCCCACUCUCUUCGCCGAGCAACCGCAUCCGCGGUUCCCCACGCUGCCCUCCUUCUCCCUCACCUCCGCCUCCCACACCCUCCUCGCCCGCCUCGCCGACGCCUCCGCACGCGACGCGCACAUCCGCCUCGCGCGCCUCCUCCUCCUCACCCGCUCCAGGUCGCUCCCGCUCGCGUCAGUCCUCCCGCUCCGCUUCGACCUCGGCCUGCCGUUCAAUUUCGCCGCGGCCUUCCCGUCCUCCCACCCUGGAACCUUCGCCGUCGCCAACAACCGCAUCUCGCUACUCUCCGCAUCCGGCCUCCCUGACGGCAUUGCCGUCUCCUCGCUCCAGCGCCGCCAUGCUGCGGCCAUCGACGCUGUGACCUACCGCGCGCUGUCGCGGCCGCCUUCCUCGUCAAGCGCGCCACUCGCGUUCCCGAUGCGGUUCCCGCGAGGGUACGGCGGGAUGAAGAAGGUCAACGCCUGGAUGGAGGAGUUCCACCGGCUUCCCUACAUCUCGCCGUACGACGACGCGUCAGGGAUCGACCCAGACAGCGACAUCUACGAGAAGAGGAACGUCGGCUUGCUGCAUGAGCUGCUCGGGCUGACGGUGCACAAGAUGGUGCGCAGGAACGCGAUCCGGCUGCUCCGGGAGGAGCUGGGCCUGCCGCACAGGUUCACGAGGCUCUUCACGCGGUAUCCCGGGGUGUUUUACCUGUCGUUGAAGUGCAAGACAACGACGGUGGUGCUCAGAGAAGGGUACGAGAGAGGGAAGCUCGUGGAGCAGCAUCCCCUCGCAGCGAUGAGGGACAAGGUGCACUAUGUGAUGCGCACCGGGGUGCUGUACCGCGGGAAGGGCUUGUCCAAGCUUGUUCUGGAUGACGAUGGCACUGAGGAAGACGGUGCACUGGAUGGAGAGGAGGAGUUUCAAGGGGAGGGGAUGGAUGAGGAUGCUGAUGUCGAAUGCUUUGGAAUGGAGAUUGUGGAUGAUGACGGGCCUGCUGAUGACGGGGAAGAUGAAGGCGAUAGUGAUUGUUGACAUGGGCUGAUGAUCUUGCAUUCUGAAUUUCGCUGUUUUGAGAUUGUGGCUUCACUCAUGAUUCCAGUAACUGGGUUCAAUUCAACUUAGUGGCCCCAAAGGAGAAGUGCUGCAAAGCUAUUGUAGACGGCUAUCUGAAGCAAGAAGCUGGAGUGAGGCUGGAGCCAAACAUCUAGUUGCCUUUUUACCUGCCAGCAUGUAGCCCUUCUGAAUUGCCCUUUUAUUUAGUUGGAUCUUGUGGGUUUCAUCUCUAGCCUACCACAACUUACUUGGGACAAGGGCUGCUGCUGCUGCUGCUGCUGUUGUUCUCCUGGUGGCAUAGCCACCUGUAAUUUUGCUCCUUCCGCUUAAAUGCUUAAUAUAUAAAGCCGGCAAUGCUGGAUCUUUUAAAAAACUAUGGAUUUGGCCCGGAAAUGAAAUAUGAAUAUGGCUAGUUUAUUCUGAGCUCAUUUCAGCUAACUUAGUGUUACCCAGGAACCUUUGCAGUCCUCAUGGCAACCUUUGAAGACAAUGUAAUCAAAUUUGAUGUAUUGAAUGUCUUAAUGUGGUGGUGCAACACACCUGAUUAUUGGCUGGUGCGCUAGGAUUUGAAACAGAAGCUGUUUUUCAUAGAGAUGCUUCUCUGUUAAGUUUCAUACUUUGUGCUACUGCCUACCAGACCUAAGUCUACAGCUUGUGUGGUUUCACUGGUUUGCAUACGAUCUUAUCCCUCUGUUUGCUCAUAUUUAUUAAAACGGCAAUCCAAUCCUCUUGUGUGUUUCAUUUCCUAUGGAAUUACUAUCACAGUAGCUGUGGCAACACACGCGGUCUUUGAGAUAUUGUUUUUGCUUUUAAGUGACUUCAAAUUGAUGAUAGGUGGGAACAACAUUCCAAGAACAAAGCAGUGGCUAGUGACCUCUCCAUUUAUUUCAUUUUCUUUUUAGAGUUAUUGGUCCCUGAGAUCCGUGUGUUUUAUAUUUAUUUAUUGCUUGCAUUACUCAAUUACUGUAUUCUCAAUUAAUGUAUUCUCCAACAUGGCACAUGUUAUGUUAUUUCUGUUGGUUAUAAACUGCAAUCUCCAACAUCCCAAAAUUUGGACCUUUUCUGCAGAAACUCAGCCAGCCUAGUAUAUCAGAUAAACAAGUCACCAACUAAGAAAACAAAAAAGAGCGUGUGUGUGUGUGUGAAGCUGCACGGCAGAUCUAGAGGCUGCAACUCCUGCCUGCCGUGCUAGAGCAACCAUGAUGAACUGUGCGGUAAAUAAGGUACAUUCAGGCCAAAGCUUCUCUUGACUUGUCAUGGUGGCGGUUAAGGGGAACCCCACAGCCUCACGUUCUCACAGCCUUUUUAUCAGGCUAAAGUAGCUGGGCAUCAUAAGAGAGAUGAGAGCAUAUGCAUGCCCCAGAAGACCAGAAUUGGACUCUGCAACUUUCCUGGAUUCCAAUGCCCAGAUGGAUGAAGGGCCAGGGAACAACCAGAAAAGGAGGAAACCCAUUUAUUACUUGGGUAGACAUACUCUAUGUCUAUUUGCCAUGAACUUUGUCAAAAAUAAUUGGCCCUGGGGGGGCACUGGUUGUUGCUUGAGUAGGGGUAAUCCCAAUGCCUCAUACUAGCUUAACUAAUGGGGCCAGCUGAUAUUAGAAUGCAAAGCUAAUCAUUACAUCUUGUCUCCUCCUUGAUGAUGAUCCUUGGCUUUUGCACCCCUCCUUUUUCUACUGUUCAAAGCGCGCAUCAUAUUGCCUAGGGCAGAGAGCAUAUUGGGAAAAACUAGUAGAAAGAAAUCAUGCUGAAAUAUUCAGCAGUAUACAUUAUGAAACCCUAAGCUGUUGUCCUAAACUAAUGAAGUGACUAAUAAAACCAAACCAUAGUCCAAAAUACGUUUACCCCAUGGUACCAUUCACCAAAAAUUUCAACCAUAGCAAUUCUUAAGCCUGCCGACAUGAACUUAAAAGGAGGAAGUAAUCUAAUUCAUGAGACUGGCAACAACAAAACAAAAAAAAAUCGUCUCUGCUUUUCCUUCAGGGUCACAUGAGAACGAGGAGCUAUCGUUCACACCAUACAUCUGAUCAUGAAGCUGAAUCUGCAGGCGUGCUGACGGUGCAUAGAAACUGCCACUGGAAAAAUCUGGUUGCAGAAUUGGGCAGUGUGGAAGCAUGAGAAUCCUGUGGUACCUGCUCAUUGCAUGCACAUACGAUGGAUCGUUAUCCAGGAUUCCAGUGGUAAGCUGCACAGCGACACAAGGUGAUGGAUCAGAAGGAGCCUGCGGCAAACCUGAUUGUUUCGGUCAACAGAUAAAACUAGUCUAAAAAGCAGGACAGGUACGAUACCAUAUGGUCCUAUAGGGCACGGGAGAAGAAAGGGAGGCAAAAGAGGACAGCCUAUGUAGGAUGAGUUGACGAGUUGCCUUCGUGUCCUGACAACCACUCCCACAUUGUGCAUCACGGGCAAUCACGCACCUUAUCGUAUCCAAAGCCACAUAUAUUCGGUAGAUCCAUUGAUUAGUCUGCUAAUUGCGGUGCUCUCACUAAAAAGAUGCUAUAGCAUUAUGCGCCACUUGGUAGGUACGACAUAUACCAAUAAGAGACGCCAUUGAUUUUGAGGAUGUGACUUGCCCCUUAAAUUUCCCUUGCUUAGCUUCUUUCUGUAGAGAGUCCAGUAGUAGUUUGUUACCCGGGGAUGUAGUAGCAAUUUUCUUCGCUUGAAGCUGUGAUAUUCUUUGCUAAUAUGUCUCUUUAGAAUGAGCUUGCUGAACUAGGUCGAUUUGCCUGCGCAAUUUCACUAGUUCACGGACUUUCCAUUCUCAACCUUGGGGCUGACAAGGUUUUCAUCUUC